CUAAGGUAGCAUAAUCAUUUGUUAUUUAAUUGGUAACUGGAAUGAAAGGUUAAACUAGCUUAUUAAGUUUGUGGGACUAAAUAGGAGUUUAAAGUUAAGGUAAGAAUGCUUUAAUUUUUUAGGGGACGAUAAGACCCUAGAAGCUUAACGAGUAGGCUGUUUUGUUUUAUAAACUUGUUCGUUUUACUGGGGCGGUAAAAAUAAUUAAGCUAUUUUUUAUUUAAAGGAUCCUUAAAAUAAAGAAAAAAUGGAGAAGUUACUCUAGGGAUAA
Molecule: ribosomal RNA, 271 nt
Filed under: Gammarus balcanicus
Lineage: Eukaryota; Metazoa; Arthropoda; Malacostraca; Amphipoda; Gammaridae
Description: partial 16S ribosomal RNA
Source: RNAcentral